RNAcentral lists this ribosomal RNA (1397 nucleotides) under uncultured marine bacterium. RNAcentral describes it as "bacterial SSU rRNA". It matches the Rfam family "Bacterial small subunit ribosomal RNA". The record is from RNAcentral.
AACGUACGCUGGCGGCACGCCUAACACAUGCAAGUCGAACGAAGUAGCAAUACUUAGUGGCAGACGGGUGAGUAACAUGUGGGUAUCUGCCCUUUGGCCUGGAAUAACACGAGGAAACUUGUGCUAAUACUGGAUAAGUCUUUACGGAGAAAGCUUUAUGCACCAUUGGAUGAGCCCGCACUUGAUUAGUUUGUUGGUGGGGUAAUGGCCUACCAAGACUGUGAUCAAUAGCUGAUUUGAGAGGAUGAUCAGCCACAUUGGGACUGAGACACGGCCCAAACUCCUACGGGAGGCAGCAGUGGGGAAUCUUGCACAAUGGAGGAAACUCUGAUGCAGCGAUGCCGCGUGAGUGAAGAAGGCCCUUGGGUUGUAAAGCUCUUUCGUCGGGGAAGAAAAUGACUGUACCCGAAUAAGAAGGUCCGGCUAACUUCGUGCCAGCAGCCGCGGUAAUACGAAGGGACCUAGCGUAGUUCGGAAUUACUGGGCUUAAAGAGUUCGUAGGUGGUUGAAAAAGUUGGUGGUGAAAUCCCAGAGCUUAACUCUGGAACUGCCAUCAAAACUUUUCAGCUAGAGUAUGAUAGAGGAAAGCAGAAUUUCUAGUGUAGAGGUGAAAUUCGUAGAUAUUAGAAAGAAUACCAAUUGCGAAGGCAGCUUUCUGGAUCAUUACUGACACUGAGGAACGAAAGCAUGGGUAGCGAAGAGGAUUAGAUACCCUCGUAGUCCAUGCCGUAAACGAUGUGUGUUAGACGUUGGAAAUUUAUUUUCAGUGUCGCAGCGAAAGCGAUAAACACACCGCCUGGGGAGUACGACCGCAAGGUUAAAACUCAAAUGAAUUGACGGGGACCCGCACAAGUAGUGGAGCAUGUGGUUUAAUUCGAAGAUACGCGCAGAACCUUACCAACACUUGACAUGUUCGUCGCGACUUUAAGAGAUUAAAGUUUUCGGUUCGGCCGGACGAAACACAGGUGCUGCAUGGCUGUCGUCAGCUCGUGUCGUGAGAUGUUGGGUUAAGUCCCGCAACGAGCGCAACCCUCACUUUUAGUUGCCAUCAUUAAGUUGGGCACUCUGAAAGAACUGCCAGUGAUAAGCUGGAGGAAGGUGGGGAUGACGUCAAGUCCUCACGGCCCUUACGUGUUGGGCUACACACGUGCUACAAUGGUAUCUACAACAGGAAGCAAGACGGCGACGUUAAGCAAAUCCUUAAAAGAUACCUCAGUUCGGAUUGCACUCUGCAACUCGAGUGCAUGAAGCUGGAAUUACUAGUAAUCGUGGAUCAGCGUGCCACGGUGAAUGCGUUCCCGGGUCUUGUACACACCGCCCGUCACACCAUGGGAGUUGGUUCUACCUUAAGGCAAGGUUUCAAACCCUUGACCACGGUAUAGUCAGCGACUGGGGUG